Long non-coding RNA from Apis florea (little honeybee), 1471 nucleotides. The record is from RefSeq and is a predicted model, not a curated record. Lineage: Eukaryota; Metazoa; Arthropoda; Insecta; Hymenoptera; Apidae.
UUCUCCUCUGCCGUUCUCUUCACCGGUUGUCCGAGCAAACCCACUCUCCUCCUUUUCUUCCUCCUUCUCCUUCCCGAGCCGUUGUUCCUUCACCAGCUUCCCGCGCUGCUACUUCACCGGCCACCUCCGCCACCACCGCCGCCGCCGCCACCACCGCGGCGCGCCGUCCCGAGUGCCGUGCGGCCACCACUCUUCUCGACCACUUCCAGUCGCCUUUCCCCCCUGUACCGCUGCUGCUGGCUAGCUAGUCCAACAACACGCAGCCACGGAACCUCGUUACGCUGAAACGAUACGAACGUGGUGGAAGUUCUCGCAACGGAACUUUAGUGCAGCUGCGGCGAGCAGCUGACGCGUUCGAGUCGCGUCGGUAGUCGGUGGUCGAGCUUGCCCCGCGCGAACGUAACCCGGUAACCGCAGCUUCGAUUCUUCGAACGGUGAUUUUCCGCGUACCGCGCGUGUGCGCGUGUGUAUGUGCGCGGCAUUUAUCGGCGAGAGUGUAAAGGGAAGGAGAGAGCAACGAGCGCAACGUUUCGAACGCAAACUAUCGAGCUUUCCCGCUCGUCAAAUGAGCCGAGUUUCGAUUCAUCGACGGAUGCGUAGCCUCGUCGACGCUUUGGCGCCGAGUAUAUCACGGAUGCGUGGCAAUACCUCGACUCCGGUAAGUCGACCUCGAUCUCUUUGUCUCCGUGCCGGUUCGCCGAUACGAACCAGCCAACGCAAUCAAACACACCCGUGACGAAUCAAGGACGCAAAGAUUCGUGUCCGCGUCGUAACGCGAUUCUCGCGAUUCGCGAUCGUUCGAUCGUUCUCCGUCCAAGAUGGAAGGAGAAUGGCGCGGGGUAUGGAAUGGACGGGACGCGAAGGAAAGAUUUUCGAGGAAAAGAGGAAGAAACGGUCGAAGAGGAAGAGACGGUAGAGGGUCGAAGGCGGCGCGUACCCAUCUGACAGCUGAGUACGCGCUACUAGAUGUCGCCAGUGACGCGUCGCUUCGCUUUGUCCCGCUGAUCGCGAUCGUCCGAGAGACUCGCCGGCUCUCCCCCUUCUUCUCUCUUCUUUUCCCUUCUUUUCCCUUCGUUUCUCCUCCUGUCUCUUCUUCGUCGCGUAUACGACGCUUGGCCGGCAUCGACGCUCGUAAACCAAGGAGCAACGAGGUAGGUAGGUAGCUAGGUAGCUAGGUAGGUAGGUAGAUAGAUGGAUGGAUGAAUGGGUAGGUAGGUAGGUAGGUAGGUAGAUAUGUAUGUAUGCGUGCUCGCUCGUCCAAGAGUUCGUAUACCGACGCACACGCGGGCAGAUGGUGCGCAGCAAGCCCUUCUCGUUCCACGCACCUGUUCCGUUGUUGUCGUUCCGUCACGGCGUGCCAGUGCACGCGACAGCUCGUGCCACUUACCUCCGGUUGCUUCUCGGCCGUCCUCGACGCUGUUCUCGCGUAAGGACGCGUCUCCCUUUUUGGAUCAUGUUGUUUGUUUGUUCG